This 117-nucleotide ribosomal RNA is filed under the name Pteropus alecto (black flying fox). Lineage: Eukaryota; Metazoa; Chordata; Mammalia; Chiroptera; Pteropodidae. The record is from RNAcentral.
AUUGAAAGCUGAGAAGAUGAACGUGCCCGAUCUCAUCUGAUCUCGGAAGCUAAGAAGGGUCGGGUCUGGUAAGUACUUGGAUGGGAGACCGCCUAGGAAUACCAGGUGCUGUAGUUG